ACGUGGAGUUUCGCCAAUCAACAUCCAACUUCCUCGGAAAGGCGGGAUAGAGGCUCUGAUUGACAGCUUCCCGAGCCAAUCAGCUUUGCAAGUACCUCAGCCUCCUCUCAGCGCUCCGGAGUCACUCCGAUUCGAUAGCGGUGGGAGGAGCAUCCAACCCCUGAGAAGAAAGUCUGACAGCAUCCAAAGCAGCUUCCAGCUUCCCCAAGUGUUCACCGCGGCGUGGUGGUGAGGCACCAUGUUUGUUGCCAAAGGCGCCUGGACAUUGGUGGCCCCAGGACAACUUCCUACUCACAUCCCUCCUG
Molecule: long non-coding RNA, 305 nt
Filed under: Gallus gallus (chicken)
Lineage: Eukaryota; Metazoa; Chordata; Aves; Galliformes; Phasianidae
Description: lncRNA (ENSGALG00010006007.1)
Source: RNAcentral